Erpetoichthys calabaricus (reedfish) is the source of this 983-nucleotide long non-coding RNA. RefSeq lists it as uncharacterized. Lineage: Eukaryota; Metazoa; Chordata; Cladistia; Polypteriformes; Polypteridae. The transcript is spliced from 3 exons. The record is from RefSeq and is a predicted model, not a curated record.
UAAACUGCUUUAACAAGAUGGGGGGCUUUACAGGGGAGUCUCCCAACCUCCAAUUUUCAUUCAUCACAAUUGGAAGUUCACGGCUAUUGAGAGAAAGAGAUAACUGUGGUACCGAUCCAACGCUAGUUUAGGGUCUUUAUGCAGCUGGAAGGUGAACAUCUGGCCAAUUUUGAGGUCCAAAGCACCCUGGAGCACCUUAACCCUAACGCAGAUGUUCAUUAAGGGUCUUUCUAUACUUUUCUCGGUUCAGCACACCCAAGAGGUUGCAGUAAGACGAGAGGCAGAUUUUGGAAUUAACCGUUACUUGCUUCGGUGCUGUUUUGGUACCAGUAGUGAAUUCUGAAAGUUGGUAUUGAUACCAAAGUCAAAACUGUGGUAGCAAUCCAACGCUAGCUUGGGGUCUUUAACCUGCUGGAAGGUGAACAUCUGGCCAAUUUUGAGGUCCAGAGCGUCCAAGAGCACCUUAACCCUAACCUUGACGCAGAUGUUCAUUAAGGGGUCUCUCUGUACUUUUCUCUGUUCAGCACACCCAAGAGGCGGAUUUUGGAAUUAACUGUUAUUUGCAGUAUUGAAUUCUAAAAGCUGGUAUUGAUACCAAAGUCAAAGCUGUGGUACUGAUCCAACGCUAGCUUGAGGUCUUUAUCCAGCUGGAAGGUGAACGUCAAGCCCAUUUUGAGGUCCAGGGUACCUCAGAACAGCUGUUCAGAAGGGCUCUCUAUGUACUUUGCUCCGUUCAGUACAACAGGGAAGCUGGAGUAAGAUGGUGGAGGAUUUUGGAGUUAUCUGUUAUUCGCUUCAGAACAGUUUUGGUACCAGUACUAAGGUCUGAAAGCUGUAACAGAUACUGAAUUGAAAAUUUUAGAAGUGAUCCAACGCUAGCUUAGGGUCUUUAACCUGCUGGAAGGUGAACAUCUGGACAAUUUUGAGGUCCAGAGCGCCCAGGAGCACCUUAAUCCCUAACCCUGACGCAGAUGUUCUCUCUC